RNAcentral lists this ribosomal RNA (411 nucleotides) under Somatochlora clavata. RNAcentral describes it as "partial 16S ribosomal RNA". The stretch from base 1 to 208 matches the Rfam family "Archaeal large subunit ribosomal RNA", at positions 1889 to 2143 of the family's 2987-position model. The record is from RNAcentral. Lineage: Eukaryota; Metazoa; Arthropoda; Insecta; Odonata; Corduliidae.
CGCCUGUUUAACAAAAACAUGUCCUUUUGAGUAUAUUUAAGGUCUGACCUGCCCGGUGAUUUAUUUUAACGGCCGCGGUAUAUUGACCGUGCAAAGGUAGCAUAAUCAUUAGUCUUUUAAAAGAGGGCUGGAAUGAAAGGUUUGACGAGGUAUUGACUGUCUCAUUUUAUUUGGAUUUAGAAUUUAACUUUUUAGUCAAAAGGCUUAAAUUUAAUUGGAAGACGAGAAGACCCUAUAGAGCUUUAUAUUAAUUAUUUUAAUUAUGAAUAUAUAAUUUUUAAUUAGAUGAAUUAUUAUUUUGUUGGGGUGACAGAAAAAUAGAACUAACUUUUUUAUUUAUUUAACAUUAAUUUAUGGUUAUUUGAUCCAUUAUAUUGAUUGAUAGAUUAAGUUACCUUAGGGAUAACAGCG